Molecule: long non-coding RNA, 4724 nt
Organism: Phacochoerus africanus (Common warthog)
Lineage: Eukaryota; Metazoa; Chordata; Mammalia; Artiodactyla; Suidae
Exons: 4
Source: RefSeq, a predicted model, not a curated record
AGGCAGCAGAAGGCGUUGGGUGGGGGGACGCCGGUGGCAAACGCGCGUGGGGGCUGCACUUCGCAAAGUGCCGAGUACCCGCGGCGGGCUCUUGGGCGUCGCUGCCCCGAAGGCGGCCGAAGGCGCAGGGGUCGGGGGCUCGCGCUGAGGAGAGUAGGGUCCCUGGGUGUUUGGCCGCCUGCUGCGCGGGCUUGGCGAAGGACGGUGAGAGGCCGGCGCGCUGCCCGGGGGAUCCGGCGGGGUCCCGGAACUUUUGGAGCAUCACCAGCAUCCCAUCCCUGGACAGUCACGCCUUCAGCUUCGGACACCCACGACGGACGGAGGACCCCACAGGUAGUUGGGGGCUGACAGUUUGCUCCGCAGGGCUGUUGACCUGAACCGGCCACACGCUACUUCACAAGGAUUCGAAAAAAAUGGAAGCAGUGUUCUAGAAGUGGUUGUCUCCCUUAACCUCGAGCUUUCGUUUCUACAGACGCUCUUAUUUUAACUUUCUUUCCACCGUCAGCCCGGCUUCCUCCACCCUGUUGCUUGCGGUGUUUUAAGGUAGAUCCCAGGGUAUGUAAUUUCCGAGAUUCUUUUGGUUGCGAGGGACAGAGAGUCAGCUGAAACUGGCUCUUACAAUGAGGGCGUGGUUGGCUCACAUGACGGAAGUCAAACCAGUCUUCCUUCUUCAGCGCCUUUUUCAGGCCAGCCAGCGGCAGCACACGCUUCGUCCCUCCAGCCCUGGGACUGAGGUCCACUGGCCUGAAUGGGGUCAGGGGCCAGCGUGGAGCUGGGUGGGACCAGGGAAGAGCUGCUGCUUAACCAGAGGGAGGUGGAGGCUGGAAACGUGGGCGUCGUCACUGUGGGGGAGUCAGCGGUCUCAGGGCCGGGCUGUCCGCUGCCUCAGCCGGCACACAGCAGAGAGGGGAGGGGAGCCCCCGCCCCCGCAAGAUCCUGCCCGUGCCUGCGCCUCCUGCCCAGUGGGAUGCUCACGUUUGGUAGCCGCUGAGGCAGGAGACACCUCACAGCCCAGACCGCCAUCCAGGUGGGCUGAUCGCUCUGCGGCCUCAUCUCGGCCUGUGCCCUCCAGCUGGCAGCUGGGCCGGAGGGGAGCAGCUGGGGGGAAGCCAGCGGUCAGAAGAGCCUUCGCAGGGCACCUAUGGCAGGUGAAAAUGAGCUCAUGGAGCCAAGUAGCCUGGAAAAACGCACGGCGCUGAUGGCAGGUACAGAGCGGGAUUGGCGAAGAGACCGCCUGGGCCUGGACACCUGCAGCGAGGAAGUCCCAGCCCUGCCCCGUGGCCCCCCUCAGCCGCCCGCCCGCCCAGAUGCUCAGCCCUUCAGCUUCCAGGAUGCGGUCUGAACCGUGGGCCGGCCACCGGCUCCUCUGAGGCCUUUCCUACUUAGGUGGGGGCCCCUUCGGAUGGCAGCAGCGUUUGGGCAGGGCCGACUCCCACGAGCGAGGACCUAGGACCUGAGCAGCACCCAGGGCCAGGUGGACCGGAUGCCGAGGUGGCCCUGGCGCCCGCUCCCGGGGUCAGGAGGCCCACCUGUCCCGGCACCAUUACCAACACCAGCGCCUUCCUCCUCCCCUGGGCUCCGAGAGUCCGCCCGGGGCCUCGGGAUCGAGUGGUCUUCCUGGAGGCUGGCCGUCAGUUCAGCUGGGAAACUGUCGCCUGGACUUGGGUUGGGCCCGCCCCCUCCAAGACCAGCGAGAGAAGCCACGGUCCCCUUGAGCAGUGGCCCUUCCCCGCUCCUCUGCAGGGACGAGCAGGAGGACCAGCACCGGCCAGGACCCUCAGUCCUCAGCACCCCAGGCCCGCUGCCCUCGCCCAGACCAGGGCAUUCUUCCUGCAUUACUUGGGUGGCGGGGUGCAGCUGUCAGGCGUCACAGAAAAAGCAGAGGCCUGGAGUCACCUCUGACUGCCCGUCCUCACCUCCAGGGACGGAGCGACCAGGGCGGCGUGUAGCCGUGGUGCUCCCAGCGCCCCAGCUCUGAGGCCGAGGCCCCUCUGCCCCGCGCACCGGCGCCGGGGCCUGUCGCGUGCGGGGUCGGAGCCGAGCAUCUGACCGCGCGGUGCUGCUGACGCUGACCCCCCGCCUGGGGGCCAGAGGAAAAGGCUGGAAGCACAGAGAAUCGAGCAUCUCUUCAUCAGCUUAUUUUUAGUCGCGUUAUUGGCGCCAGGGGCCCUGGAAGUCACCGGAAACGUGUGUCGGGAGCAGAGAGGAGGGAGCCCGUUGUCUGGAAGCUGCACCUGGAGGACCCUCGGAACCCAAGCCUGGGUGUGUCCUUGCGGGUCCUUCCCGGGGGGCGGGAGGCGGGCGGCCCCUCCGUGCGGUGCCUGCUGGUGCCAGGCGCCCCCGACGCCUGCCGCGCGUGCAGAUGGCUCCCCUGCCCAGGCUGCCGGCUUCUAAUUUCGGCUGCUGGAGGCUCCACGCUCUCUUUUUUUAUUCCGUGUUUAUUUAAAGCCGGAUUUUAAAAUCUUGUCUUCAGGCCUGGAAUCUUGACUUUGUCUUCUUGCUGCAGAUCCUAAAGCCCCACCUAGGAUCCCCUGGUCUCCAAAGGGGGAGCUCUGAAGCCAACUCGCGUGGGUUUGUGGGUCACCUUGCCAAUGGGACAGAGCCCUGCCUGGCACGGUGACAUUUGGAUGCCGGGCAGAGGUUUUCAGUCAGAGCAGUGUCGUGUAGUGACCACACGGUCAGAACCCGGAGAGCCCCUGUGUGUUCUCGGCUCCCAAAGGCUGAGAGGUGGCACACGGCUCUCGGAGGGAGAGGAGAGCAUCCCCCGCCCAGCAUGCCAGGUGUCCACAGGAGAGGGGGGGCCCAGAGCCACCCACCUGCUGUCCCCCGUCUGGGUCCAGACAUGUGCCCAGGGCCGGGGAAGAGGGCGGACAGACAGUUCUCACCUGGCAAGUGGGGUUCCUCUCCCGCCUCUCUGCUUCCUGACCCUCAGGGCUUCCUGUUUCUCUUGUAUUUGGAACGAGGACACCCGGAGGGGCUCUCUGUGUACUAGGUGACAGGCACCAGGCCACUGCGGGACAGCCACCUUCAGAUGGCCGAUGCUGGACAGCAGGGGGCCCUGUCCCACAGACAGUGUGACCCACGGACCCCACCGAGUGGCGGCAGGCGCCCUGGAGACAUGAGUCCUGGCCCUCUGAGCACACGUAACAAGCCCCACCUGUCCCUGCGGCUCACCGCAGGCCGUGCUGGAGAACGGUGAGGUCCCUGGACAGUGAGAAGGCGAGCCGGCCGAGGGGCCACACCAUGUCCCCCAGCUGUCCCCACCCGCGAGCUCCUGCAGCACGUGGCAGGAAGCCUGCGAGCAGAGGGGCUGGGGUCUUUGGAGAACGCAGUGCCUCACGUCCAGGUCUGCAGUGAACGCAGCCCCUGAGCCAGCACAGAACCGCCUAGACAGCUGGGCCGGCCCCCCAGGAGGCCCCGCAGUGGCCCAGCGAAGACUGGGCCGGACUGACGGCGGCUGCAGGGAUGCAGGCCAGGGGUGGGAACCAAGCAUGUCCAGAACCAGGCAGUUGUCUGGAUGGUAUUGAAAACCGCAGCCUGGGCCUUCCCGUCCUCAGGCAGUGUGGAGCCGUCGGAAGUUUCUUCACUGGCACGUCCCGUCAGAAAGUAAUAGGAUUUUGAGAGAUAUUAAUUUAGGUCAAGCUUGAGAAUGUCACUCCCCCGACAGGCUCUUGUUUUUUCCCUCAAAGGUUGAAGAAAGAGACAUUCUUGUAGAGAUGCAGCUUAUGGAAAACUGUAGCUAUUACCUAGCUGUCGAAACAAAAAGGAGAUUCCAUCCGCCAGGGAACACAACUUAACUGGCCGGAGAUGACCUUUAACCCCAGCCCAGCCAGACGCGGGCUCCAAGUGACCUUUGCAGCGGUGCUCUGUCGCCAGCAGAAACGAGGCCCCUGCGGGAUCUGGCAGCUCAAGGCCCUGAAAUCUGCUGUUGAUUCUCACCCCAAUUUCAGACUUUCUCUGCCGCCGUGGGCGCCAACAGCGGUGCCGACUCAGGCCUCGGUUUUCAGAGCCCCAGGCGGGGCCGGUGGUGUUGGAUUCUGUUGUGAUCUUCCUUCAUUCCUUGGCUUGUAGGUUUCCCACCAGGAGAACCCCGGAGGCCUUGCGGGAAGGUCAGAGCCCAGCUGCCUGCUGGGCACAGGCACCUGCCGGGAAGCCGGUGGCCCUGCCCUGCAGCCCCAGGAAGCCCAGGAGGUGGCUUGAGAGGGCAGGUUAAGGGGUGGCGGCUGCAGGACCACUGCCCCCAGUGCUUUGCUGUCAGACUCCAGCCUCGGGCUCCCAGCCCGGCGUCCCAGUGGGCGGAGAGGACGGAGGAUGCACCCGGCCCGGGCUGACCAGGGGCCCUGCCCCGGACAAGUGACCCAGCAUCCCGGCCCCUGGACUGCGGAGAAGGAGGAUGCGGGGCGCCGGCGGGCGGGUGGGCAGGGACGCCACAUCGGGGGACCUCCGCUGCCACCUGGUGGACAGCCCAGGAAGACGCCAGGGACGUGUGGCAGGCGCAGAGGGGCGGCCUGGGCGCGGAGAAGACACACCAAGGAGAGGCCGAGUGAGCACACAGCAAGAAGACAGCCGUCUGCAGGCUAGGAAGAUGGCCCUUGCCAGAGCCGGACCAUGCUGGCCCCCUGACGAUGGACUCAGCCUCCAGAAUUGAGACAGUAAAUUCCAGUUGUUUAAGCUGAAAAAAAAAAAAAAAAGAUGUACCUUAGUGGGUACAAUGUGGCAUCUCA